GAUGAACGCUGGCGGCGCGCCUAAUACAUGCAAGUCGAGCGAAUGGAUUAAGAGCUUGCUCUUAUGAAGUUAGCGGCGGACGGGUGAGUAACACGUGAGUAACCUGCCCAUAAGACUGGGAUAACUCCGGGAAACCGGGGCUAAUACCGGAUAAUAUUUUGAACUGCAUGGUUCAAAAUUGAAAGGCGGCUUCGGCUGUCACUUAUGGAUGGACCCGCGUCGCAUUAGCCAGUUGGUGAGGUAACGGCUCACCAAGGCAACGAUGCGUAGCCGACCUGAGAGGGUGAUCGGCCACACUGGGACUGAGACACGGCCCAGACUCCUACGGGAGGCAGCAGUAGGGAAUCUUCCGCAAUGGACGAAAGUCUGACGGAGCAACGCCGCGUGAGUGAUGAAGACUUUCGGGUCGUAAAACUCUGUUGUUAGGGAAGAACAAGUGCUAGUUGAAUAAGCUGGCACCUUGACGGUACCUAACCAGAAAGCCACGGCUAACUACGUGCCAGCCGCCGCAGUAA
RNAcentral lists this ribosomal RNA (515 nucleotides) under uncultured bacterium. RNAcentral describes it as "partial 16S ribosomal RNA". It matches the Rfam family "Bacterial small subunit ribosomal RNA", at positions 28 to 523 of the family's 1533-position model. The record is from RNAcentral.